GACGAACGCUGGCGGCGGGCUUAACACAUGCAAGUCGAACGGAAAGGCCCUGCGUGUGUGGGGUGCUCGAGUGGCGAACGGGGGAGGAACACGUGAGUAACCUGCUCUUGACUUUGGGAUAACUUCAGGAAACGGGGGCUAAUACCGGAUAGGAGAUCCUGCUGCAGGGAGGGGGUUGGAAAGUCGCGGCGGUUGGGGAUGGACUCGCGGCUUAUGAGCUUGUUGGUGGGGUAGUUGCUUACCAAGGCUUUGACGGGUACGCGGCCUGAGAGGGUGACCGGCGACCCUGGCUCUGAGGGGCGGCCCCGGCUCCUACGGGUGGCAGCAGUGCGGAAUCUUGCACCAUCGGCGCCGGCCGGAUGCAGCAGCGCCGCGUGUGGGAUAGCGGUUUUGGGGUUGUAGAACGCCUUCGGCUGUGACGACGCGUGAUCGACGGUAAUGGGUAGAGUAGGACCGGCUAACUACCUG
This 468-nucleotide ribosomal RNA is filed under the name uncultured bacterium. RNAcentral's name for it is "partial 16S ribosomal RNA". It matches the Rfam family "Bacterial small subunit ribosomal RNA", at positions 28 to 507 of the family's 1533-position model. The record is from RNAcentral.